Long non-coding RNA from Ornithorhynchus anatinus (platypus), 767 nucleotides. RefSeq lists it as uncharacterized. The transcript is spliced from 2 exons. Lineage: Eukaryota; Metazoa; Chordata; Mammalia; Monotremata; Ornithorhynchidae. The record is from RefSeq and is a predicted model, not a curated record.
CUCCUGAAGGUAAAAAGUAUGUUUCCUUUUUUUUUCCUCCUGUCCCAGCUCUGAUUUCCUCCCCUAAGUAUCUCCACAGGGACAGAAUUUUCAUGGGGCGAAAAUGACAGAAGUUCUGGAAAAGAAAAACUUGAAACCAUGUUCCCUGCAGGACAAACUAAAGACUGACAUUUUUGCCUGCUUGGUGGCCACGGGAUUCCUGCUGAUCAUAGUUACAGUUUUCCAAAUUCUGAUUUUUUGUUACAUUAAAUGGGUUGGUUUUUAUCCUACAACUGCCAAGGGAAGCAUUCUGCUCGGGGAAAGACCUAUUCAGCCAUACAGAUUUGGCUUUGUGGACUGUAACAGCUGAUCCCACAAGGUCAGUUUCCACUCUGGAAACUUUCCAAAGAUUCCUGUGGGUUCUGUGCCUAUUUUUGAGAAUAAGCCAAGAGGAGUAACCAAAAUGCCCUCCCAUUCUGGGGAUUUUGCAGCCAGGACCAUGUGUUAGAGGCUGUCAAACCAGAGGUUGCCUGGAAUCACCAGUGUUACAUAGUAGGAGCACUUUGUGAGCCACCCCCACUGGGUGUGGGGCUCUAUACAAUAUUCUUGAAAAUUACAGAAUUGUGAAAUUUUACAUUCCCUGCCUAUGAGAACCUAUGGUGCAGUUACAAGAUUUUUUUUGUCAUUCCCCAUUAGAGCAGUCCAAAUACAUAAUUGAGAAUACAUAUACAUGAGUACUGAGAUUGAUUAUGAAUAAAUUAGUAACCACUAGAUUUGGCUGAUGGAAA